GAAAGUAUAUAAGGGCGUAUGGGGAAUGCCUAGGCUCUUGGAGGCGAAGAAAGACGUGGUAAGCUGCGAAAAGCUCCGGGGAUUUGCAAACAAGAUUUGAUCCGGAGAUCUCUGAAUGGGACAACCCGGCAGGUAGAAGACCUGUCAUCCGGCGACGGAAGCCAACCCUCUGAACUGAAACAUCUUAGUAGGAGGAGGAAAAGAAAGAAACAUCGAUUUCCUAAGUAGCGGCGAGCGAACGGGAAGCAGCCCAAACCGGAUUUGUUACGGCAAAUUCGGGGUUGUAGGACUGCGAUAUUCAAACGACAAUGAACUGGAACGAUCUGGAAAGUUCGUCCAUAGAGGGUGAAAGGCCCGUACAGGUAAGUUAGUCGAGCGAUAGCAGUAUCCUGAGUAUGGCGGGACACGAGGAAUCCUGUCAGAAACAGCCGGGACCACCCGGUAAGGCUAAAUACUCCCAAGAGACCGAUAGUGGACCAGUACCGUGAGGGAAAGGUGAAAAGUACCCCGAACAGGGGAGUGAAAUAGAACCUGAAACCAUACGCUUACAACCGGUCGGAGCGGCUUCGUGCCGUGACGGCGUGCCUAUUGAAUAAUGAGCCUACGAGUUACUAAUCACUGGCGAGGUUAAGUGCUAGGAAGCACGGAGCCGAAGCGAAAGCGAGUCUGAACAGGGCGGCCAGUCAGUGGUUGUAGACGCGAAACCUUGCGAUCUACCCUUGAGCAGGAUGAAGGUCGGGUAACACCGACUGGAGGUCCGAACGAAUAAGCGUUGAAAAGCUUCUCGAUGACUUGAGGGUAGGGGUGAAAGGCUAAUCAAGCUGGGAAAUAGCUCGUACUCCCCGAAAUGCCUUUAGGGGCAGCGUUGUAAUAAAGAGUCUACUGGAGGUAGAGCUACUGAUUGGAUGCGGGGGCUUCACCGCCUACCAAAUCCUGACAAACUCCGAAUGCCAGUAGUAUGAUUUACAGCAGUGAGCGACCGGGUGCUAAUGUCCGGUUACGAGAGUGGAACAACACAGACCAGCAACUAAGGUCCCCAAGAAUAUGCUAAGUUGAACUAACGAUGUUUUGUUGCAGAGACAGCUAGGAUGUUAGCUUGGAAGCAGCUAUUCAUUCAAAGAGUGCGUAACAGCUCACUAGUCGAGCGACAGAGCGUGGAUAAUAAACGGGCAUCAAGCAUAUCACCGAAGUUCUGGACACGAGAGUGUGGUAGGGGAGCAUUCCAUUCGCGUCGAAGUCGCGCCGUGAGGCGUGGUGGAGCGUAUGGAAAAGCAAAUGUAGGCAUAAGUAACGAUAAUGCGGGAGAGUAACCCGCACACCGCAAGACCAAGGUUUCCUGAUCAACGCUAAUCGGAUCAGGGUUAGUCGGGUCCUAAGGGUAAGCCGAACGGUGAUCUCGAUGGACAAUCGGUUAAUAUUCCGAUACUGACAUAUACCUCGAUGGAGAGACGAAGGAACGUAAGUGUCGCCACCUGACGGAAUAGGUGGUUGAAGAGUGUAGGUAUAGGCGCAGAUUAAGAGUUAGCGCUUGCUGAGACUCGACAGUACGGAGCGGCUACGGCCAAUCCGAUAGUGCACCCAAGUAUACUUCCGAGAAAAUCUUCUAAGUUAUAGUAUAUGUCACCCGUACCGUAAACCGACACAGGUGGUCGAGGAGAGUAUCCUAAGGUGCUCGAGUGAAUCACGGUUAAGGAACUAGGCAAAUUAACCCCGUAACUUCGGGAAAAGGGGUCCCACCGCGAGGUGGGCGCAGCGAAGAGGUCCAGGCGACUGUUUAUCAAAAACACAGGGCUCUGCAAAUUCGAAAGAAGACGUAUAGGGCCUGACACCUGCCCGGUGCUGGAAGGUUAAGAGGGGAUGUCAUCGCAAGAGAAGCAUUGAAUCGAAGCCCCAGUAAACGGCGGCCGUAACUAUAACGGUCCUAAGGUAGCGAAAUUCCUUGUC
RNAcentral lists this ribosomal RNA (1944 nucleotides) under human gut metagenome. RNAcentral's name for it is "bacterial LSU rRNA". It matches the Rfam family "Bacterial large subunit ribosomal RNA", at positions 1 to 1973 of the family's 2925-position model. The record is from RNAcentral.